Molecule: ribosomal RNA, 363 nt
Filed under: uncultured Coprococcus sp.
Lineage: Bacteria; Bacillati; Bacillota; Clostridia; Lachnospirales; Lachnospiraceae
Description: partial 16S ribosomal RNA
Source: RNAcentral
GGAGUUUGGGCCGUGUCUCAGUCCCAAUGUGGCCGUACACCCUCUCAGGCCGGCUACUGAUCGUCGCCUUGGUGGGCCGUUACCUCACCAACUAGCUAAUCAGACGCGGGUCCAUCUCACACCACCGGAGUUUUUCACACCGUACCAUGCGAUACUGUGCGCUUAUGCGGUAUUAACAGUCGUUUCCAACUGUUAUCCCCCUGUGUGAGGCAGGUUACCCACGCGUUACUCACCCGUCCGCCACUAAGUAUUUCAAAUGAUUCUUCAGAAGCAAGCUUCCUCGGUCUCGGGAGGAAUACUCCGUUCGACUUGCAUGUGUUAAGCACGCCGCCAGCGUCGUCCUGAGCCAGGAGUCAAACUACU